This 1834-nucleotide ribosomal RNA is filed under the name human gut metagenome. RNAcentral's name for it is "bacterial LSU rRNA". It matches the Rfam family "Bacterial large subunit ribosomal RNA", at positions 1006 to 2925 of the family's 2925-position model. The record is from RNAcentral.
CAUUGUCAAAAGGGAAACAGCCCAGAUCUACAGCUAAGGUCCCAAAUUGUAUCUAAGUGGAAAACGAUGUGGAAAUACGCAGACAACCAGGAUGUUGGCUCAGAAGCAGCCACUCAUUUAAAGAGUGCGUAAUAGCUCACUGGUCGAGCGUCUCUGCGCGGAAAAUUUAACGGGGCUAAGAUACAAACCGAAGCUUAGGCUGCACGUAAGUGCGGGGUAGGGGAGCGUUGUGUAAGCGGAGAAACAGUAGCGUAAGCGGCUGUGGAGUUUACAGAAGUGAGAAUGCCGGAAUGAGUAGCGCGAAUGUGGUGAGAAUCCACAUGGCCGGAAACCUCAGGUUUUUGGAGGAAGGUUCGUCCGCUCCAAGUUAGGCGGGAGCUAAGGUCAGGCCGAAAGGCGUAGCCGAUGCACAGACGGUAGAGAUUCCGUCCCCACCGAAAGAUUUAAGCACAGGGACACUUUUUGAAGGUCGGAGCCAGGUGUUGGUUCUGGUAGUGAUCGAGGGAAAUAUAGUACCGAAGUCCGGCUGGAAGAGAGGCGAGAAAAGCUGUGUGUAUAUCUAAGGUGCCCGUACCGCAAACCGACACAGGUAGGUAGGAAGAAGAUUCUAAGGCCAACGGGAGAAGGGUUGUUAAGGAACUCGGCAAAUUGACCCCGUAACUUCGGGAGAAGGGGUGCUCCAGAGAUGGAGCCGCAGAGAAUCGGCCCAAGCAACUGUUUACCAAAAACACAGGUUUGUGCUAAAUCGAAAGAUGACGUAUACGAGCUGACGCCUGCCCGGUGCUGGAAGGUUAAAAGGAGAUGUGCAAGCAUUGAAUUGAAGCCCCAGUGAACGGCGGCCGUAACUAUAACGGUCCUAAGGUAGCGAAAUUCCUUGUCAGGUAAGUUCUGACCCGCAUGAAAGGCGUAAUGAUUUGGGCACUGUCUCAACAGCCCGCCCGGCGAAAUUGUAGUACCGGUGAAGAUGCCGGUUACCCGCGACAAGACGGAAAGACCCCAUGGAGCUUUACUGUAGCCUGAUAUUGGGUUUCGGUGUUGCAUGCACAGGAUAGAUGGGACGCUAGGAAAGAAGCGCUUUGGCGUUUCUGGAGCGGACGUUGGGAUACCAUCCUUGCGACAUUGGAAUUCUAACCUGCGCCUCUGAAUCGAGGCGGGGGACAUUGUCAGGUGGGCAGUUUGACUGGGGCGGUCGCCUCCUAAAAAGUAGCGGAGGCGUUCAAAGGUUCGUUCGAUCUGGACGGAAACCAGAUGAUUGAGUGCAAACGCAUAAACGAGCCUGACUGCGAGACUGACGGGUCGAGCAGAGACGAAAGUCGGAGUUAGUGAUCCGGUGGUAUGUGAGUGGAAAUGCCAUCGCUCAACGGAUAAAAGUUACCCUGGGGAUAACAGGCUGAUCUCCCCCAAGAGUCCACAUCGACGGGGAGGUUUGGCACCUCGAUGUCGGCUCAUCGCAUCCUGGGGCUGUAUUCGGUCCCAAGGGUUUGGCUGUUCGCCAAUUAAAGCGGUACGCGAGCUGGGUUCAGAACGUCGUGAGACAGUUCGGUCCCUAUCUGUCGUGGGCGCAGGAUAUUUGAAAGGCGCUGUCCCUAGUACGAGAGGACCGGGAUGGACGAACCUCUGGUGCACCAGUUGUCACGCCAGUGGCACAGCUGGGCAGCUAUGUUCGGAUCGGAUAAACGCUGAAAGCAUCUAAGCGUGAAGCCGGCCUUAAGAUAAGAUAUCCCACUGAGUCAAUCAGGUAAGACCCCUUGAAGACUACAAGGUUGAUAGGCACACAGUGUAAGCGGAGUGAUCCGUUCAGCUAGCGUGUACUAAUAGGUCGAGGGCUUGACCC